AGCCUAUUAAAGUUUAACUAUUAGUAAUUUCAUACUUUUUUCAUGAAAUGCGUCAUUUUCAUUUGAAAGAAGGAAGAAAAUACGUCAAUACCAUUUAUGAUGCAUUUACAGCGUUAAUGUUAUGCUGAACACAUUCUUAACGAUGGGCAAACUAUUUAAAAAAUUAUUAUAUUUCGAUUAAAAAUUCCUCUACCUCUCACAGCAAAUUUGGAAGAACAGUAGGCUACUUUUUGGGACACGCCAUAUAUACCACACAUGCUACAUACACAAACUACAUGUCCUUUUCCAUUUUGCAUCAUGUGAACAUUUGACGAACGAACCCAAAAGUUUGAUAAGACAUUAACGUUGAACGUCUUUUCUAUGAUAUCCGUGUCUUGAUUCAAAAAAGGGCAAUGAUAUAAUACAGCGGCGUUAUUAAUCAGGAUAGACACUUCUGGCACGCCGACUUUUCUCAUUAACCUUGCUGCUUCUCGGACUUCUAAUCUUUUCGAUACAUCGACUACGAAACCGUAAGCCUAAAUAUACAUAUAUGUAUAUAUCUUUAUCAAUGGAAAUGCCUAUCGAAGAUCAAAUAAAUAUAUUAUAGGAUUUUUAUUUAUUCAGAAAUAUUAGAAAUUAGGGUUUUCAAUGAUUUCUAUCCCAUAUGAUAAGUUUAUUAAUAGAUAGAUCUAUUUAUAAUGAU
This 682-nucleotide unclassified non-coding RNA is filed under the name Bombus terrestris (buff-tailed bumblebee). RNAcentral's name for it is "misc RNA ENSBTSG00005033402.1". Lineage: Eukaryota; Metazoa; Arthropoda; Insecta; Hymenoptera; Apidae. The record is from RNAcentral.